GAAGCCCAGUGAGUUUAAAUAUCAGAUUAAUAAUGAAGAAUUUUUAGUCUAAGUAUGUCUUUGCAAUAUUUGGGACAUACUUAGACUAAAAACUUAUUUGUUAUUUAUCUGAAAUUCAAAUUUAACUGGGCAUCCUGUAUUUU
Molecule: microRNA precursor, 143 nt
Filed under: Mustela putorius furo (domestic ferret)
Lineage: Eukaryota; Metazoa; Chordata; Mammalia; Carnivora; Mustelidae
Description: miRNA (ENSMPUG00000022704.1)
Source: RNAcentral